GACGAACGCUGGCGGUGUGCUUAAGACAUGCAAGUCGUGCGGACCGUAGCAAUACGGUCAGCGGCGGACGGGUGAGUAACACGUGGAUAACCUGCCUGGCUCCCCGGGAUAACAGGCCGAAAGGCCUGCUAAUACCGGGUAAGCUCACGGGGCCGCAUGGUCCUGGGAGAAAAGCUCCUGCAAGGGAGUGGGGUCAGAGGGGUCCGCGGCCCAUUAGCUAGUUGGGGGGGUAACGGCCCACCAAGGCGACGAUGGGUAGCCGGCCUGAGAGGGCGAUCGGCCACACUGGGACUGAGACACGGCCCAGACUCCUACGGGAGGCAGCAGUCGGGAAUUUUGGGCAAUGGCCGAAAGGGCUGACCCAGCAACACCGCGUGAGUGAAGAAGGCCUUCGGGUUGUAAAGCUCUGUUGCCCGUGAAGAACGGUGCUUUCAGGAAAUGGGAAGCACUUGACGGUAGCGGGUGAGGAAGCUCCGGCUAACUACGUGCCAGCAGCCGCGGUAAUACGUAGGGAGCGAGCGUUGUCCGGAUUUAUUGGGCGUAAAGGGCGUGUAGGCGGCUUUUUAAGUCUGAAGUGAAACGCCAGGGCUCAACCCUGGAACUGCUUCGGAUACUGGGAAGCUUGAGUACUCUAGAGGGCAGUGGAAUUCCGGGUGUAGCAGUGAAAUGCGUAGAGAUCCGGAGGAACACCAGUGGCGAAGGCGACUGCCUGGGGAGAAACUGACGCUGAGGCGCGAAAGCUGGGGGAGCAAACGGGAUUAGAUACCCCGGUAGUCCCAGCCGUAAACGAUGAGUGCUAGGUGUAGGGGGUAUCGACCCCCCCUGUGCCGGAGUUAACGCAAUAAGCACUCCGCCUGGGGAGUACGGCCGCAAGGUUG
Molecule: ribosomal RNA, 878 nt
Filed under: uncultured bacterium
Lineage: Bacteria
Description: bacterial SSU rRNA
Rfam family: Bacterial small subunit ribosomal RNA
Source: RNAcentral